Molecule: long non-coding RNA, 553 nt
Organism: Tyto alba (common barn owl)
Lineage: Eukaryota; Metazoa; Chordata; Aves; Strigiformes; Tytonidae
Exons: 2
Source: RefSeq, a predicted model, not a curated record
AGGGGAAAACGUCACAAACUGAGAAAUACCUCUGCAGGGGAAAGCCAAGCAGGGCACAGAAAACGUGACGGAGAUUACAGUGAGGCUGAGACAGCACCCGAGACCCAGGGAGCUCAGCACACCCCUGCAGCAGCUGCACCCUUGGACGUGGGAUUCCAGACUGGUUCCCCCAAAUAGUUAAUGUACUGGGAUGAUUCUACCCUAAAACUAGCUGGCUGCAACCCACCCCGUUUCAGAAGACGUCUGGUUUCUCCUGUUUAUCUGCACAGCGGCUCUGCUGCAGGGACAGACUAAACAUCCAGGAAGGAGAGAGAUCUCAGCCCCAAACCACAGGGAUGCAAACUGCAGGAGAGCCUUGUGCUGAAGUACAAGAGCACAAACAGAGCAAGGGGCUUUCUCUGGUGGAGAAGCCUUCUGGUGUACACGGGUGUGAAAGCAGAGAGAGGCUGAGAAACACUAAAGGUAUGAAAUGAUUCCACUGUAAAUGCAGGGGAAAGGACGUGGGAGGAAUUCUUGAGAACUGCUUCACACAGUAAAAAUUAUUUCUGAUUUA